GCUAGACAGCGCAAAAUAACCUGAACUGGUCUUUGUUCCUGCUGAAGUGGACACCGGUGGACUAAGUAUGGAAGAUGGAUGAACGACAGGGUGUGGUAUCCACGACAAGGACAACUUCACUCUGGCUCUUCUGAUGCAAAUCCUCCCACGACCUCAGUGAUUGCAUCACAUGGUGAGAGUGAGGAAGUACCACCCGAACCUAAGGAAGGAGCAGCAGCACCGGCGGCACCAGUAAAAGGCCAUGUUGGUCCAGGAGCAGGAGAGCAUCUUACAACAAAUUCCCUACUCAGGCAUGUUAGCAUGAAAGGAGCUUGCAAGAUUCAUGCAUGUGACUGAGGCCAGCAUGCAGAUUAGCCCUGAACUAACUACUGCCAAUCCUACUCUUUUUGCUGAGGAAGACUGGUCCUGAGCUAACAUCCAUGCCCAUCUUCCUCUACUUUAUAUGUGGGACGCCCACCACAGCAUGGCUUUUGCCAAGCGGUGCCAUGUCUGCACCCAGGAUCCAAGCCGGCGAACCACGGGCCGCUGAGAAGCGGAACGUGCGCACUUAACUGCUGCGCCACCAGGCUGGCCCCUAGAAAUAUAUUCUACAUGAUAUAAAUAAAUAUGUGCACAUUUGCAUGUGUAUACAUACACAUGCAUAUAUAUAUAUGUAUUAGGGAGGACUUCUGUGUGGAGACUAUACGAUGGAAAUAAUAACACUAUCUAUGUCAUAGAACUGAUGAGGGGAACAAAUGACAUAAUGCACAUAAGUACCCAGCACAACGCCCAGCGACAG
Molecule: long non-coding RNA, 778 nt
Filed under: Equus asinus (donkey)
Lineage: Eukaryota; Metazoa; Chordata; Mammalia; Perissodactyla; Equidae
Description: lncRNA (ENSEASG00005033566.1)
Source: RNAcentral